GCAACAAUGUGGGCUCUCUUAGGCUGACAAUGGAAGCAAACAGUGAAGAAGGCCAGGCCACUGUCCCAACCUCAUUUCCACUGUAUUCACCAGAUGGCCUUAAAAGAGAUCAGCAAAGGAAACCAUACAAUGAGAGCAAAUAGGACAAUGGGAGACACUACAGCUGCAGAAGAUGUCACUUAUGACUCUUUGUGUCUGCAAUAUCAUUCAGGUUAAUAAUAUAUCUGGCCCUAAACACACAGCAGAGGACCACAGGGAAAAAUAAUUACCCCUUCUCUUACUUA
This is a long non-coding RNA of Cyanistes caeruleus (blue tit), 284 nucleotides long. RefSeq lists it as uncharacterized. NCBI's taxonomy places the organism in Eukaryota, Metazoa, Chordata, Aves, Passeriformes, Paridae. The record is from RefSeq and is a predicted model, not a curated record.